Molecule: ribosomal RNA, 419 nt
Filed under: uncultured bacterium
Lineage: Bacteria
Description: bacterial SSU rRNA
Rfam family: Bacterial small subunit ribosomal RNA
Source: RNAcentral
GAGGAAUAUUGCGCAAUGGCCGAAAGGCUGACGCAGCGACGCCGCGUGAGGGAUGAAGUCCGUUAGGAUGUAAACCUCUUUUGCAGGGGAUGAAGCUGCCGCUACAGGCGGCAGUCGACCGUACCCUGCGAAUAAGGGUCGGCUAACUACGUGCCAGCAGCCGCGGUAAUACGUAGGACCCGAGCGGUGUCCGGAUUUACUGGGUGUAAAGGGCGUUUAGGUGGGCGCUUAAGUCGAUGGUGAAAUCCUGCGGCUCAACCGUAGAAUUGCCGUCGAUACUGGGCGUCUUGAGUACGGCAGAGGGAGAUGGAAUUCAUGGUGUAGCGGUGAAAUGUGUAGAUAUCACGAAGAACACCGGUAGCGAAGGCGGUCUCCUGGUCCGUUACUGACACUGAGGCGCGAAAGCGUGGGGAGCAAAC